Molecule: long non-coding RNA, 332 nt
Filed under: Ananas comosus (pineapple)
Lineage: Eukaryota; Viridiplantae; Streptophyta; Magnoliopsida; Poales; Bromeliaceae
Description: long non-coding RNA (ACOM_LNC022552)
Source: RNAcentral
UUAAAGUUUAUAAUCUUGUAAAUUAACAUGUAAAAUAAUUUUAUAAUCUGUUUUAUUGUUAUUGUAGAAAUAUUUCGUAAUUUAUUCUAUUAAUAGUGGUAUGUGAUUAAGAGAGAACAGGAGGAAGAUUGUUGGGAUAGACUAUAGAGAUAAGGUGGAGGGGUUCCGGUUCAGUUCAUAUAUUAAAUUCUUUGUCAUCCGUAUUUUAGUUUUCCUGGUCAUUAUUAGAGAAAUAUUUCAUAAUUUAUUAAUUCUGUUAAUUAAUAAUAUUAUGUGAUUAAGAGGGAACAGGAUAAAAUAUCCUGUGAUUAGAGAAAGAUCGCUCGGAUAGA